CGGGGGGAGCAAGCGUUGUUCGGAUUUACUGGGCGUAAAGGGCGCGUAGGCGGCGUGACAAGUCACUUGUGAAAUCUCCGGGCUUAACCCGGAGCGGCCAAGUGAUACUGUCGUGCUAGAGUGCGGAAGGGGCUACUGGAAUUCUCGGUGUAGCGGUGAAAUGCGUAGAUAUCGAGAGGAACACCUGCGGCGAAGGCGGGUAGCUGGGCCGACACUGACGCUGAGGCGCGAAAGCCAGGGGAGCGAACGGGAUUAGAUACCCCGGUAGUCCUGGCCUUAAACGAUGGAUACUUGGUGUCCGGGGUUACAUAGUCCCCGGGUGCCGGCGCUAACGCAUUAAGUAUCCCGCCUGGGGAGUACGGCCGCAAGACUG
Molecule: ribosomal RNA, 373 nt
Filed under: uncultured organism
Description: bacterial SSU rRNA
Rfam family: Bacterial small subunit ribosomal RNA
Source: RNAcentral